Molecule: ribosomal RNA, 305 nt
Filed under: uncultured bacterium
Lineage: Bacteria
Description: bacterial SSU rRNA
Rfam family: Bacterial small subunit ribosomal RNA
Source: RNAcentral
UCUGUCCUACGGGGCGCAGCAGUGAGGAAUAUUGGUCAAUGGCCGAGAGGCUGAACCAGCCAAGUCGCGUGAGGGAUGACUGCCCUAUGGGUUGUAAACUUCUUUUAUAAAGGAAUAAAACGAGGCACGUGUGCCUUUUUGCAUGUACUUUAUGAAUAAGGAUCGGCUAACUCCGUGCCAGCAGCCGCGGUAAUACGGAGGAUCCGAGCGUUAUCCGGAUUUAUUGGGUUUAAAGGGAGCGUAGAUGGGUUGUUAAGUCAGUUGUGAAAGUUUGCGGCUCAACCGAAAAAUUGAAAUUGAUACUG